CAGUCGCCGCGGUAAUACAGAGGGUGCAAGCGUUAAUCGGAAUUACUGGGCGUAAAGCGCGCGUAGGUGGUUUGUUAAGUUGGAUGUGAAAGCCCCGGGCUCAACCUGGGAACUGCAUCCAAAACUGGCAAGCUAGAGUACGGUAGAGGGUGGUGGAAUUUCCUGUGUAGCGGUGAAAUGCGUAGAUAGAGGAAGGAACACCAGUGGCGAAGGCGACCACCUGGACUGAUACUGACACUGAGGUGCGAAAGCGUGGGGAGCAAACAGGAUUAGAUACCCCGGUAGUCCCUGUCUCUUAUAC
Molecule: ribosomal RNA, 301 nt
Filed under: uncultured bacterium
Lineage: Bacteria
Description: partial 16S ribosomal RNA
Rfam family: Bacterial small subunit ribosomal RNA
Source: RNAcentral